RNAcentral lists this long non-coding RNA (751 nucleotides) under Physcomitrium patens. RNAcentral's name for it is "long non-coding RNA (PPAT_LNC005355)". The record is from RNAcentral. Lineage: Eukaryota; Viridiplantae; Streptophyta; Bryopsida; Funariales; Funariaceae.
UUGUGAUAGUUAUGAGUCGGGAUAAGCUUGGUGCUAUCUCUUUGUUUCUUUGUAGUUGAAGAGUAAUGGAUAGUUUUUGAAUAAUGUGAAGUGAAAUUCUAGAAUAGAAAAGAGAUUUAAUAUUAUAAAUAAAGUAUGGAAUUUAUUGUGGAUGAAUACAAUAGAGAAUUAUAAGUAGACAAUUAGAAGUGUGAGUGAAGAAUGGAUAUGAAUGGGAGAAUUAUAACAAUGAGGUUUGAGAAGGAGUCUUUGGAGUUUGGAUUAGUGUGAAGAAGUGUAGAGAGAAUGAUCGUCAAAUGUGGAGGAUUCUAAUAAUUGGAUUAUGGAGUGAUUGUAUGUUGUCUUUUAAGAUAGUAUAAUAUUAUAUAUUGUUGUUAUAAAUUAGGAAAAGAGAUGAGAUAGUAAAUGUGAAGAUAGAAUUAUUGAUUGUAAUAUUUGAUAGAAUGUCGAAGAAAAUGUAGCAUUCUUGGAUAUUUUUAAUUGAUUGUGAGAUAGUUAAUUAUGUGACCCUAACGUGCAAACUCAUGCGCAUAGUCUUUUGCUAUGUUUGAAUUUUCUUAUAUUGGUUUAAUUCAAUUAGAUUAGUAUGGAAUAAGUAAAAUAAAAAUUAUAUUUUGGUGCCGUUGUCAAAGAUUGAUAAUAGUAUUAAAUGUUAGGAAUUAACUGCCAAACAUGUCAUUACAAAUGUCAUACGAAGAGAUUAAAAAAUUAGUGUUGGUUCAAAAAUAAAGCUAAAUGUGUAAUUAAAGUG